RNAcentral lists this ribosomal RNA (494 nucleotides) under uncultured bacterium. Its description in RNAcentral is "partial 16S ribosomal RNA". It matches the Rfam family "Bacterial small subunit ribosomal RNA", at positions 28 to 507 of the family's 1533-position model. The record is from RNAcentral.
GACGAACGCUGGCGGCGUGCUUAACACAUGCAAGUCGAACGGAAAGGCCUGCUUUCCCUUGUGGAUUGCGGGUACUCGAGUGGCGAACGGGUGAGUAACACGUGAGUGAUCUGCCCCCAACUUGGGUAUAAGCCUGGGAAACAGGGUCUAAUUCCCGAUAGGACUGCAGGGUGGUGCCUGUGGUGGAAAACGAUUUUCUAGUGGUUGGGGAUGAGCUCGCGGCCUAUCAGCUUGUUGGUGGGGUAAUGGCCUACCAAGGCGGCGACGGGUAGCCGGCCUGAGAGGGUGGACGGCCACAUUGGGACUGAGAUACGGCCCAGACUCCUACGGGAGGCAGCAGUGGGGAAUAUUGCACAAUGGGCGGAAGCCUGAUGCAGCGACGCCGCGUGGGGGAUGACGGCCUUCGGGUUGUAAACUCCUUUCGACCGCGAGGAAGCCACCUGGUUGGAAGGGUGGUGACGGUAGUGGUAGAAGAAGCACCGGCUAACUACGUG